Molecule: ribosomal RNA, 1327 nt
Filed under: Salmonella enterica
Lineage: Bacteria; Pseudomonadati; Pseudomonadota; Gammaproteobacteria; Enterobacterales; Enterobacteriaceae
Also listed under: 1 other name
Description: partial 23S ribosomal RNA
Rfam family: Bacterial large subunit ribosomal RNA
Source: RNAcentral
GACGGUUGUCCCGGUUUAAGCGUGUAGGUGUGUGUUCCAGGUAAAUCCGGUUCACUUUAACACUGAGGCGUGACGACGAGGCACUACGGUGCUGAAGCAACAAAUGCCCUGCUUCCAGGAAAAGCCUCUAAGCAUCAGGUAACAUCAAAUCGUACCCCAAACCGACACAGGUGGUCAGGUAGAGAAUACCAAGGCGCUUGAGAGAACUCGGGUGAAGGAACUAGGCAAAAUGGUGCCGUAACUUCGGGAGAAGGCACGCUGACACGUAGGUGAAGUGAUUUACUCAUGGAGCUGAAGUCAGUCGAAGAUACCAGCUGGCUGCAACUGUUUAUUAAAAACACAGCACUGUGCAAACACGAAAGUGGACGUAUACGGUGUGACGCCUGCCCGGUGCCGGAAGGUUAAUUGAUGGGGUCAGCGCAAGCGAAGCUCCUGAUCGAAGCCCCGGUAAACGGCGGCCGUAACUAUAACGGUCCUAAGGUAGCGAAAUUCCUUGUCGGGUAAGUUCCGACCUGCACGAAUGGCGUAAUGAUGGCCAGGCUGUCUCCACCCGAGACUCAGUGAAAUUGAACUCGCUGUGAAGAUGCAGUGUACCCGCGGCAAGACGGAAAGACCCCGUGAACCUUUACUAUAGCUUGACACUGAACAUUGAGCCUUGAUGUGUAGGAUAGGUGGGAGGCUUUGAAGUGUGGACGCCAGUCUGCAUGGAGCCGACCUUGAAAUACCACCCUUUAAUGUUUGAUGUUCUAACGUGGACCCGUUACCCGGGUUGCGGACAGUGUCUGGUGGGUAGUUUGACUGGGGCGGUCUCCUCCUAAAGAGUAACGGAGGAGCACGAAGGUUGGCUAAUCCUGGUCGGACAUCAGGAGGUUAGUGCAAUGGCAUAAGCCAGCUUGACUGCGAGCGUGACGGCGCGAGCAGGUGCGAAAGCAGGUCAUAGUGAUCCGGUGGUUCUGAAUGGAAGGGCCAUCGCUCAACGGAUAAAAGGUACUCCGGGGAUAACAGGCUGAUACCGCCCAAGAGUUCAUAUCGACGGCGGUGUUUGGCACCUCGAUGUCGGCUCAUCACAUCCUGGGGCUGAAGUAGGUCCCAAGGGUAUGGCUGUUCGCCAUUUAAAGUGGUACGCGAGCUGGGUUUAGAACGUCGUGAGACAGUUCGGUCCCUAUCUGCCGUGGGCGCUGGAGAACUGAGGGGGGCUGCUCCUAGUACGAGAGGACCGGAGUGGACGCAUCACUGGUGUUCGGGUUGUCAUGCCAAUGGCACUGCCCGGUAGCUAAAUGCGGAAGAGAUAAGUGCUGAAAGCAUCUAAGCACGAAACUUGCCCCGA